AACGCAUCUUGCACCCUUUGGUAUUCCAAAGGGUACGCCUGUUUCAGUAUCAUUAUAACCUUUCUCCCCAAGGCUUUUUGGCCAAGGAGGGAAAGAGCAUAACCGGUGGCCCAGCGGUCUCCCAUCAGGGGGAUUGUCUCGGCUGGAAUGACUGUUGCAAUGGUGGGCCAAAUGGUCUUCCGCACUUGAUAAAUGUACUUUUAUAAAGAGCGGGGCCGGUCUACCGAGAGUUGUAACUAAACCCUUUACCUUUGAUCUGAAAUCAGGCGGGAUUACCCGCUGAACUUAA
RNAcentral lists this unclassified non-coding RNA (289 nucleotides) under Skeletocutis sp. RNAcentral describes it as "partial contains 5.8S ribosomal RNA, internal transcribed spacer 2, and large subunit ribosomal RNA". The record is from RNAcentral. Lineage: Eukaryota; Fungi; Basidiomycota; Agaricomycetes; Polyporales; Incrustoporiaceae.